GCCCGCCUAGCUCAAUCGGAUAGAGCGUCAGACUUUUACGGACUGUAUUAUCAGGAUACAUCUGAAGGCUGCGAGUUCGACCCUCGCGGUGGGCU
This is a non-coding RNA of Marasmius oreades (fairy-ring Marasmius), 95 nucleotides long. Lineage: Eukaryota; Fungi; Basidiomycota; Agaricomycetes; Agaricales; Marasmiaceae. The record is from the annotation of a RefSeq genome assembly.